This 443-nucleotide ribosomal RNA is filed under the name uncultured bacterium. RNAcentral describes it as "SSU rRNA". It matches the Rfam family "Bacterial small subunit ribosomal RNA", at positions 369 to 808 of the family's 1533-position model. The record is from RNAcentral.
UCAUGGGCGAUGGCCUGAACCAGCCAAGUAGCGUGAAGGAUGACUGCCCUAUGNCAANGUAAACUUCNUNUAUAAAGGAAUAAAGUCGGGUAUGCAUACCCGUUUGCAUGUACUUUAUGAAUAAGGAUCGGCUAACUCCGUGCCAGCAGCCGCGGUAAUACGGAGGAUCCGAGCGUUAUCCGGAUUUAUUGGGUUUAAAGGGAGCGUAGAUGGAUGUUUAAGUCAGUUGUGAAAGUUUGCGGCUCAACCGUAAAAUUGCAGUUGAUACUGGAUGUCUUGAGUGCAGUUGAGGCAGGCGGAAUUCGUGGUGUAGCGGUGAAAUGCUUAGAUAUCACGAAGAACUCCGAUUGCGAAGGCAGCCUGCUAAGCUGCAACUGACAUUGAGGCUCGAAAGUGUGGGUAUCAAACAGGAUUAGAUACCCUGGUAGUCCAAGGGCGAAUUC